This 317-nucleotide ribosomal RNA is filed under the name uncultured Rhogostoma. RNAcentral's name for it is "bacterial SSU rRNA". The stretch from base 102 to 317 matches the Rfam family "Eukaryotic small subunit ribosomal RNA", at positions 739 to 955 of the family's 1831-position model. Lineage: Eukaryota; Cercozoa; Thecofilosea; Cryomonadida. The record is from RNAcentral.
GACUUCUGGUUUAAUGCACCUGGCCCGCCGCCCACAAGGCCUGUGAGUGCCGGCGCGCGUUUACCAUCCUUCCAGCAACGGCUACCCUUAACUGGGCGGCUGGAACUGGAUCUUUUACUUUGAAAAAAAUUAGAGUGUUUAAAGCAGGCGUUUACUCUGAAUACAUUAGCAUGGAAUAAUAAUCUACCACUUCGGUUCUAUUUUGUUGGUUUCUCUAACUGAAGUAAUGAUUGAGAGGGAUAGUUGGGGGUGCUAGUAUUGGCCGGUCAGAGGUGAAAUUCUUGGAUUCGGUCAAGACUAACUUAUGCGAAAGCAUU